GCCCCAGUAGCUCAGGGGAUAGAGCACCGGCCUCCGGAGCCGGGUGCGCAGGUUCGAAUCCUGCCUGGGGCG
RNAcentral lists this transfer RNA (72 nucleotides) under Acidimicrobiia bacterium. RNAcentral describes it as "tRNA-Arg". It matches the Rfam family "tRNA". From Rfam's summary of the family: Transfer RNA (tRNA) molecules are approximately 80 nucleotides in length. Their secondary structure includes four short double-helical elements and three loops (D, anti-codon, and T loops). Further hydrogen bonds mediate the characteristic L-shaped molecular structure. tRNAs have two regions of fundamental functional importance: the anti-codon, which is responsible for specific mRNA codon recognition, and the 3' end, to which the tRNAs corresponding amino acid is attached (by aminoacyl-tRNA synthetases). tRNAs cope with the degeneracy of the genetic code in two manners: having more than one tRNA (with a specific anti-codon) for a particular amino acid; and 'wobble' base-pairing, i.e. permitting non-standard base-pairing at the 3rd anti-codon position. Lineage: Bacteria; Bacillati; Actinomycetota; Acidimicrobiia. RNAcentral also lists the same sequence under 1 other name. The record is from RNAcentral.